Molecule: ribosomal RNA, 2697 nt
Filed under: Escherichia coli
Lineage: Bacteria; Pseudomonadati; Pseudomonadota; Gammaproteobacteria; Enterobacterales; Enterobacteriaceae
Description: bacterial LSU rRNA
Rfam family: Bacterial large subunit ribosomal RNA
Source: RNAcentral
AGUAGCUCACGUAAGGGAUGGACGGCAGGGUCAAAUGUUUAUAAGAGCAAGACACACUAUCAUUAACUGAAUCCAUAGGUUAAUGAGGCGAACCGGGGGAACUGAAACAUCUAAGUACCCCGAGGAAAAGAAAUCAACCGAGAUUCCCCCAGUAGCGGCGAGCGAACGGGGAGGAGCCCAGAGCCUGAAUCAGUGUGUGUGUUAGUGGAAGCGUCUGGAAAGGCGCGCGAUACAGGGUGACAGCCCCGUACACAAAAAUGCACAUGCUGUGAGCUCGAUGAGUAGGGCGGGACACGUGGUAUCCUGUCUGAAUAUGGGGGGACCAUCCUCCAAGGCUAAAUACUCCUGACUGACCGAUAGUGAACCAGUACCGUGAGGGAAAGGCGAAAAGAACCCCGGCGAGGGGAGUGAAAAAGAACCUGAAACCGUGUACGUACAAGCAGUGGGAGCACAGAGCAAUCUGUGUGACUGCGUACCUUUUGUAUAAUGGGUCAGCGACUUAUAUUCUGUAGCAAGGUUAACCGAAUAGGGGAGCCGAAGGGAAACCGAGUCUUAACUGGGCGUUAAGUUGCAGGGUAUAGACCCGAAACCCGGUGAUCUAGCCAUGGGCAGGUUGAAGGUUGGGUAACACUAACUGGAGGACCGAACCGACUAAUGUUGAAAAAUUAGCGGAUGACUUGUGGCUGGGGGUGAAAGGCCAAUCAAACCGGGAGAUAGCUGGUUCUCCCCGAAAGCUAUUUAGGUAGCGCCUCGUGAAUUCAUCUCCGGGGGUAGAGCACUGUUUCGGCAAGGGGGUCAUCCCGACUUACCAACCCGAUGCAAACUGCGAAUACCGGAGAAUGUUAUCACGGGAGACACACGGCGGGUGCUAACGUCCGUCGUGAAGAGGGAAACAACCCAGACCGCCAGCUAAGGUCCCAAAGUCAUGGUUAAGUGGGAAACGAUGUGGGAAGGCCCAGACAGCCAGGAUGUUGGCUUAGAAGCAGCCAUCAUUUAAAGAAAGCGUAAUAGCUCACUGGUCGAGUCGGCCUGCGCGGAAGAUGUAACGGGGCUAAACCAUGCACCGAAGCUGCGGCAGCGACACUGUGUGUUGUUGGGUAGGGGAGCGUUCUGUAAGCCUGUGAAGGUGUGCUGUGAGGCAUGCUGGAGGUAUCAGAAGUGCGAAUGCUGACAUAAGUAACGAUAAAGCGGGUGAAAAGCCCGCUCGCCGGAAGACCAAGGGUUCCUGUCCAACGUUAAUCGGGGCAGGGUGAGUCGACCCCUAAGGCGAGGCCGAAAGGCGUAGUCGAUGGGAAACAGGUUAAUAUUCCUGUACUUGGUGUUACUGCGAAGGGGGGACGGAGAAGGCUAUGUUGGCCGGGCGACGGUUGUCCCGGUUUAAGCGUGUAGGCUGGUUUUCCAGGCAAAUCCGGAAAAUCAAGGCUGAGGCGUGAUGACGAGGCACUACGGUGCUGAAGCAACAAAUGCCCUGCUUCCAGGAAAAGCCUCUAAGCAUCAGGUAACAUCAAAUCGUACCCCAAACCGACACAGGUGGUCAGGUAGAGAAUACCAAGGCGCUUGAGAGAACUCGGGUGAAGGAACUAGGCAAAAUGGUGCCGUAACUUCGGGAGAAGGCACGCUGAUAUGUAGGUGAAGUCCCUCGCGGAUGGAGCUGAAAUCAGUCGAAGAUACCAGCUGGCUGCAACUGUUUAUUAAAAACACAGCACUGUGCAAACACGAAAGUGGACGUAUACGGUGUGACGCCUGCCCGGUGCCGGAAGGUUAAUUGAUGGGGUCAGCGCAAGCGAAGCUCUUGAUCGAAGCCCCGGUAAACGGCGGCCGUAACUAUAACGGUCCUAAGGUAGCGAAAUUCCUUGUCGGGUAAGUUCCGACCUGCACGAAUGGCGUAAUGAUGGCCAGGCUGUCUCCACCCGAGACUCAGUGAAAUUGAACUCGCUGUGAAGAUGCAGUGUACCCGCGGCAAGACGGAAAGACCCCGUGAACCUUUACUAUAGCUUGACACUGAACAUUGAGCCUUGAUGUGUAGGAUAGGUGGGAGGCUUUGAAGUGUGGACGCCAGUCUGCAUGGAGCCGACCUUGAAAUACCACCCUUUAAUGUUUGAUGUUCUAACGUGGACCCGUGAUCCGGGUUGCGGACAGUGUCUGGUGGGUAGUUUGACUGGGGCGGUCUCCUCCUAAAGAGUAACGGAGGAGCACGAAGGUUGGCUAAUCCUGGUCGGACAUCAGGAGGUUAGUGCAAUGGCAUAAGCCAGCUUGACUGCGAGCGUGACGGCGCGAGCAGGUGCGAAAGCAGGUCAUAGUGAUCCGGUGGUUCUGAAUGGAAGGGCCAUCGCUCAACGGAUAAAAGGUACUCCGGGGAUAACAGGCUGAUACCGCCCAAGAGUUCAUAUCGACGGCGGUGUUUGGCACCUCGAUGUCGGCUCAUCACAUCCUGGGGCUGAAGUAGGUCCCAAGGGUAUGGCUGUUCGCCAUUUAAAGUGGUACGCGAGCUGGGUUUAGAACGUCGUGAGACAGUUCGGUCCCUAUCUGCCGUGGGCGCUGGAGAACUGAGGGGGGCUGCUCCUAGUACGAGAGGACCGGAGUGGACGCAUCACUGGUGUUCGGGUUGUCAUGCCAAUGGCACUGCCCGGUAGCUAAAUGCGGAAGAGAUAAGUGCUGAAAGCAUCUAAGCACGAAACUUGCCCCGAGAUGAGUUCU